RNAcentral lists this ribosomal RNA (857 nucleotides) under uncultured organism. Its description in RNAcentral is "bacterial SSU rRNA". It matches the Rfam family "Bacterial small subunit ribosomal RNA", at positions 467 to 1328 of the family's 1533-position model. The record is from RNAcentral.
CGAUGACGUAGAGUGAGAAUAAGCCCCGGCCAAUUACGUGCCAGCAGCCGCGGUAACACGUAUGGGGCGAGCGUUGUUCGGAAUCAUUGGGCGUAAAGGGCGCGCAGGCGGUUAAAUAAGCCUGGUGUGAAAGGCUACGGCUCAACUGUAGUUUCGCGCUGGGAACUGUUUGACUAGAGUUCUGGAGGGGAAGCUGGAAUUCCUGGUGUAGGGGUGAAAUCUGUAGAUAUCAGGAAGAACACCGGUGGCGAAGGCGAGCUUCUAGCCAAGAACUGACGCUGAGGCGCGAAAGCGUGGGGAGCGAACAGGAUUAGAUACCCUGGUAGUCCACGCUGUAAACGAUGUGCACUGGGUGUUGGCCCUUGAGGGUCAGUGCCGAAGCUAACGCGAUAAGUGCACCGCCUGGGGAGUAUGCUCGCAAGGGUGAAACUCAAAGGAAUUGACGGGGGCCCGCACAAGCGGUGGGGCAUGUGGUUUAAUUCGAUGAUACGCGAGAAACCUUACCAGGGCUUGACAUAUACCAGACGUUACGAGAGAUCGUGAUUCCCUUCGGGGCUGGUAUACAGGUGCUGCAUGGCUGUCGUCAGCUCGUGCCGUGAGGUGUUGGGUUAAGUCCCGCAACGAGCGCAACCCUUGUUGUCUGUUGCUAACAGGUAAUGCUGAGGACUCAGACGGAACUGCCGGUGACAAACCGGAGGAAGGUGGGGACGACGUCAAGUCAUCAUGGCCCUUAUGUCCUGGGCGACACACGUGCUACAAUGGUCGGUACAGAGCGAAGCAAGACCGCGAGGUGGAGCAAAUCGCAGAAAGCCGGCCCCAGUUCGGAUUGGAGUCUGAAACCCGACUCCAUGAAGGUG